Molecule: ribosomal RNA, 429 nt
Filed under: Chloroflexota bacterium
Lineage: Bacteria; Bacillati; Chloroflexota
Description: Chloroflexi bacterium partial 16S ribosomal RNA
Rfam family: Bacterial small subunit ribosomal RNA
Source: RNAcentral
UAGGGAAUCUUCGGCAAUGGACGAAAGUCUGACCGAGCAACGCCGCGUGAGUGAAGAAGGUUUUCGGAUCGUAAAACUCUGUUGUUAGAGAAGAACAAGGACGUUAGUAACUGAACGUCCCCUGACGGUAUCUAACCAGAAAGCCACGGCUAACUACGUGCCAGCAGCCGCGGUAAUACGUAGGUGGCAAGCGUUGUCCGGAUUUAUUGGGCGUAAAGCGGGCGCAGGCGGUUUCUUAAGUCUGAUGUGAAAGCCCCCGGCUCAACCGGGGAGGGUCAUUGGAAACUGGGAGACUUGAGUGCAGAAGAGGAGGGUGGAAUUCCAUGUGUAGCGGUGAAAUGCGUAGAUAUAUGGAGGAACACCAGUGGCGAAGGCGGCUCUCUGGUCUGUAACUGACGCUGAGGCUCGAAAGCGUGGGGAGCAAACAGG